This 582-nucleotide ribosomal RNA is filed under the name Streptomyces harbinensis. Its description in RNAcentral is "bacterial SSU rRNA". The record is from RNAcentral. Lineage: Bacteria; Bacillati; Actinomycetota; Actinomycetes; Kitasatosporales; Streptomycetaceae.
GUGGUGGGGGUAAUGGCCCACCAAGGCGACGACGGGUAGCCGGCCUGAGAGGGGGGACCGGCCACCACUGGGACUGRGACACGGGCCCAGACUCCUACGGGAGGCAGCAGUGGGGGAAUAUUGCACAAUGGGCGAAAGCCUGAUGCAGCGACGCCGCGUGAGGGAUGACGGCCUUUCGGGUUGUAAACCUCUUUCAGCAGGGAAGAAGCGAAAGUGACGGUACCUGCAGAAGAAGCACCGGCUAACUACGUGCCAGCAGCCGCGGUAAUACGUAGGGUGCGAGCGUUGUCCGGAAUUAUUGGGCGUAAAGAGCUCGUAGGCGGUUUGUCGCGUCGAUUGUGAAAGCCCGGGGCUUAACCCUGGGUCUGCAGUCGAUACGGGCAGGCUAGAGUUCGGCAGGGGAGACUGGAAUUCCUGGUGUAGCGGUGAAAUGCGCAGAUAUCAGGAGGAACACCGGUGGCGAAGGCGGGUCUCUGGGCCGAUACUGACGCUGAGGAGCGAAAGCGUGGGGAGCGAACAGGAUUAGAUACCCUGGUAGUCCACGCCGUAAACGGUGGGCACUAGGUGUGGGCAACAUCCACG